GAUUAAGGUUUUUAUUUUUUAGGGAUUUUUAAAAGUAUUUAUAUGUUUAAGUAAAAUUUAGAAAUGAUAGAAUUUAUUAUAGAUAAUUAGUACAGUGAUGGGAUAUUUUUAAAAUUAUAUAAAGAAUACAUUAUUUGUGGUACCUUUUGUAUCAGGGUUUAUUAAAAAGAUACUUUGAGUAUAAGUUUUCUCGAAUUUAUAGGAGCUAAUAAUAUAUAAAUUUUAAUGUUGAAUAAUUAUUUAUAAUAUAUUAUUGGAAUUAGACGUUAGUCGGAUUUAAAUAUAUCUAGUUUUCUGAGAAAUUAAUUUAAUUAAGCUGAUUUUAUGAAUAAUUUAUUUUAUAAAUGUAUUCUGAAAUCAAGUAAUAUUUAAGGGGAUAAGCUUUUAAGUAAAUUUCUAUAAGUUUAGGAUAUUUAAAAAUUGAGUAGGAAUAGAAGUUUUCAUUUUUUGUUGUGUUUUAUAGCAAGAUUUUUAUUAAAUUGAUUUGGAUGUUUUUAGGUUUUUUAUCAGAGUGUUGGAUGGAAUUUAAAUUUUUAAGUAAUAAUGAUAAAAUGAGUAUAUAUUUAUGUUUAUUAAAUUAAUAAAUGAGAGGUUUAAUUAAGUAAUUCGGCAAAUAUAUUUUCUGCCUGUUUAUUAAAAACAUGGCCUUUUGGGAAUAAUUUAAGGUCUGGCCUGCCCAAUGAUUAAGAUUUAAUGGCCGCGGUACUCUGACCGUGCAAAGGUAGCAUAAUCAUUAGUUUUUUAAUUGAAAGCUGGUAUGAACGGUCUUACAAGAAAAUAGCUGUCUCAAUUAAAUGGUUCUAGAAUUUUAUCUUUUAGUAAGAAAGCUAAAAUGUUUUUAAGGGACGAGAAGACCCUAUAGAAUUUUAUAAAUUUUUUUAGAUUGUGUUUUUGGUUUAGUUGAUGUGAUUUAGAAUAAUUUAUUUUGUUGGGGUGAUGGAAAAAUUUAAGAAACUUUUUUUGAUUGUUUUCACUGAUUUGUGUAUUAAUGAUCCGUUUAGAACGAUUACAAGAUUAAAUUACCUUAGGGAUAACAGCGUUAUUAGUUUGGAGAGUUCUUAUCGAUAAACUAGUUUGCGACCUCGAUGUUGGAUUAAAAUUAACUUUAGGUGUAGGGGCUUAAAAGGUUAAGUCUGUUCGACUUUUAAAAUUUUACAUGAUCUGAGUUUAAACCGGUGUGAGCCAGGUUGGUUUCUAUCUUUAUGAAGAUAUUAUAUUUUAGUACGAAAGGACCAAGUAUUAAUUUUAAAAGUUGAUUAUAGAAUAUUAUU
This 1271-nucleotide ribosomal RNA is filed under the name Dorcus rectus. RNAcentral describes it as "16S ribosomal RNA". The stretch from base 1030 to 1189 matches the Rfam family "Bacterial large subunit ribosomal RNA", at positions 2473 to 2632 of the family's 2925-position model. Lineage: Eukaryota; Metazoa; Arthropoda; Insecta; Coleoptera; Lucanidae. The record is from RNAcentral.